RNAcentral lists this ribosomal RNA (253 nucleotides) under uncultured bacterium. RNAcentral's name for it is "partial 16S ribosomal RNA". It matches the Rfam family "Bacterial small subunit ribosomal RNA", at positions 524 to 776 of the family's 1533-position model. The record is from RNAcentral.
UACGAAGGGUGCAAACGUUGCUCGGAAUCAUUGGGCGUAAAGCGCACGUAGGCGGUCUAUCAAGUCGGGUGUGAAAGCCCUCGGCUCAACCGAGGAAGUGCAUUCGAAACUGACAGACUUGAAUAUGGAAGAGGGUUGCGGAAUUCCCGGUGUAGAGGUGAAAUUCGUAGAUAUCGGGAGGAACACCAGUGGCGAAGGCGGCAACCUGGGCCAAUAUUGACGCUGAGGUGCGAAAGCGUGGGGAGCAAACAGG